UGCAAGUCGAACGAUGAUCCCAGCUUGCUGGGGGAUUAGUGGCGAACGGGUGAGUAACACGUGAGUAACCUGCCCUUGACUCUGGGAUAAGCCUGGGAAACUGGGUCUAAUACCGGAUAUGACUCCUCAUCGCAUGGUGGGGGGUGGAAAGCUUUUGUGGUUUUGGAUGGACUCGCGGCCUAUCAGCUUGUUGGUGGGGUAAUGGCCUACCAAGGCGACGACGGGUAGCCGGCCUGAGAGGGUGACCGGCCACACUGGGACUGAGACACGGCCCAGACUCCUACGGGAGGCAGCAGUGGGGAAUAUUGCACAAUGGGCGCAAGCCUGAUGCAGCGACGCCGCGUGAGGGAUGACGGCCUUCGGGUUGUAAACCUCUUUCAGUAGGGAAGAAGCGUAAGUGACGGUACCUGCAGAAGAAGCGCCGGCUAACUACGUGCCAGCAGCCGCGGUAAUACGUAGGGCGCAAGCGUUAUCCGGAAUUAUUGGGCGUAAAGAGCUCGUAGGAGGUUUGUCGCGUCUGCUGUGAAAGACCGGGGCUCAACUCCGGUUCUGCAGUGGGUACGGGCAGACUAGAGUGCAGUAGGGGAGACUGGAAUUCCUGGUGUAGCGGUGAAAUGCGCAGAUAUCAGGAGGAACACCGAUGGCGAAGGCAGGUCUCUGGGCUGUAACUGACGCUGA
RNAcentral lists this ribosomal RNA (678 nucleotides) under Paenarthrobacter sp. Its description in RNAcentral is "bacterial SSU rRNA". It matches the Rfam family "Bacterial small subunit ribosomal RNA", at positions 56 to 749 of the family's 1533-position model. The record is from RNAcentral. Lineage: Bacteria; Bacillati; Actinomycetota; Actinomycetes; Micrococcales; Micrococcaceae.